This 73-nucleotide unclassified non-coding RNA is filed under the name Mus musculus (house mouse). RNAcentral's name for it is "partial derived from hnRNA or mRNA fragment, or novel small non-messenger RNA without known sequence-or structural motifs". Lineage: Eukaryota; Metazoa; Chordata; Mammalia; Rodentia; Muridae. The record is from RNAcentral.
AAACCGUGCUACGGAUACUGUGGCAAGAAGAUUGAGAAUUUGAAGCCAGCCUUGAGAGGCAACCCUAUUUUAG